RNAcentral lists this ribosomal RNA (326 nucleotides) under Escherichia coli. Its description in RNAcentral is "bacterial LSU rRNA". It matches the Rfam family "Bacterial large subunit ribosomal RNA", at positions 142 to 506 of the family's 2925-position model. The record is from RNAcentral. Lineage: Bacteria; Pseudomonadati; Pseudomonadota; Gammaproteobacteria; Enterobacterales; Enterobacteriaceae.
GUCACACUAUCAUUAACUGAAUCCAUAGGUUAAUGAGGCGAACCGGGGGAACUGAAACAUCUAAGUACCCCGAGGAAAAGAAAUCAACCGAGAUUCCCCCAGUAGCGGCGAGCGAACGGGGAGCAGCCCAGAGCCUGAAUCAGUGUGUGUGUUAGUGGAAGCGUCUGGAAAGGCGCGCGAUACAGGGUGACAGCCCCGUACACAAAAAUGCACAUACUGUGAGCUCGAUGAGUAGGGCGGGACACGUGGUAUCCUGUCUGAAUAUGGGGGGACCAUCCUCCAAGGCUAAAUACUCCUGACUGACCGAUAGUGAACCAGUACCGUGA